CCUCACACCCGUGUUCACAGCUUCCAGCCACAGAAGACCUUCAAGGUGGAAGAUAAAAACCAGAACAAACAGGGAAUGAACAACUCAGCAGAAAAAGAAACAGCCCAUCAGGAGGAUGUGUCAUGGCACCCUCAGCCACAAUGACACCCAGUAGAACCAUUCUACCCUGGGAAGGUGGAACUAUUGAAGAGCUGGGGUUCCCUCCAGGUCUCCUGAUGGAGAUGGAAAAAGGGCCUUCCUUUGGCUUCCCAAAUACUAUGUUGGUGCCCUUCCUUAGAAGUCUUCCCCUUAAUUAAGUUGACCCGAAGGUCACAAACCAUAAUCAAUAUGGAGGCCGGGUACUGCAAGGUGCUAAUUGACAUCCCCAAGGAGGAAUAGUGUCACCAAUCAAUAGGGAAGAGGUGAGCAUUGGUAGAUUUAUGGCUUUGAUUUUGAAAAGGUAGGGGAAUGCCCAGUGAUGGUCCCCCACCCUGUACUCCUUUCGAAUGUUAAUGCUUUCUUGAAGAUGAUUUCAGACACACUGCUAGGAUACUGCCUCUACUCACUGAAGCAGAAUCCUCUGAAGAGUUGCUGAGGCAGAACCAGAAUCAUGGCUCGCCACAAAGCAGCAGCCGUAUUGGCCGCUAACGAUGCCUCACACAGAAAGACGAUGUUCCUUUAACUCGGGGGUUUUAAUGGGAAGUUUCUAAGCCUGAAACAACGGCUUGAGAUCUGGGGUGUGCCAUUAGCUGCUUGCAGCUGCCACUGUCUCCUGCCUCAACCCAGCCUGGUCGGGAAGAAUGGAAACUAAAGAGGCUUGUAACUACCUGUAACUGUUCCACCGGGAAAUGGAUCAAGUGUUUGUUCAGCCAGAUUCAGGUACUUGACUGACACCGGGUCUUUGAUGGGCUAAUUAAUGCUUUUCUCUAACUUUACGAUGUAUGCAUGAGCGA
RNAcentral lists this long non-coding RNA (932 nucleotides) under Mustela putorius furo (domestic ferret). RNAcentral describes it as "lncRNA (ENSMPUG00000024342.1)". Lineage: Eukaryota; Metazoa; Chordata; Mammalia; Carnivora; Mustelidae. The record is from RNAcentral.